Pongo pygmaeus (Bornean orangutan) is the source of this 1597-nucleotide long non-coding RNA. RefSeq lists it as uncharacterized. The record is from RefSeq and is a predicted model, not a curated record. NCBI's taxonomy places the organism in Eukaryota, Metazoa, Chordata, Mammalia, Primates, Hominidae. The transcript has 4 exons.
GGGCGGGGGCGGAGUCGCCAUCUUGGACUCGGUUCGACCCGGUCUGGUGACCGGCGACGCGGGGCCGGGCUCGGCGCCGGGGGUCGGGAACUACUAUCAAUGCCUUUUACAAAAUGAGGUCAUUGGAUUGCAGAGUUGGUCUUCGAGAAGAUUUUGUGGCCUUUCUCAGCUGUCUAGGUGCUGUAGGUGCUGUGCUUCUAUGGCUGCAAGGAUGAAGGAUGGUUCACCUGCCUCCAACUGGCCUCCUUGCCUUUGGUUCUGGCCCUGCCUGGUUCGAGAUCACAUUGCCAGAGGGAUCUUCAUAAGCACAGAUUUGCUGUAUCACUUCCAGCUUAAAAUCCAUCAGUGACUCCUGUUAGUGCCAGUGUGGAAUCCAAACUUCUUAGCAUGUCCAGUUUGAUGGUGGCCGUGAAGGGGUCUGAUGCUCAGUAACUUGAGGUGCCCCUGCAGCAUGAGGUGGUGGAGAGAGUAUCUGAGUGGGUAUGGGAUUCUGGGGUCAGGCUCAUGUUCACUUGCUCAGGAGCUUGGAGCACAACUUCCCCUUUCUGGGAGAAGGCUUUAUAUCUCAUUAAGAUGGAUGAAAUCUCUCAGCUGGACAAAGGCAGCAGCACAUUAUGUUCAAAAUGAAGAGACUUGGUGUGAGACGGAUCCUGAACAGCUCACCUCCCACCAUCCCAGCCAUGGGCAGCCUACAGCCAGAAGUAGCACGGUCUUCAAAUUCCAGCCCAUCUCUCUCCUCUUGAUGAAUACCUCUUCCAGCUCAGUUGCAAUGAAAUGUCUCCUUCUUCCAUAUAAACCCAGGGCUGUGCCCAAGCCUGCUUAUCCCAUCACCCACACUUCCCCCGAGUCUUAAAACAUGUCACUUCCUCGAGACUCGGAGGCCCACCUUAGGAAGUAUAAGAUUCAUGUUGAUAACUAGCUAGGAGGCUCAUUGAAAAUAUUUUGGGAUUUGCAUGUUAGCUCUGUCAAAUCAAGUAAAAAAUCAUUCUUAUCUACCAUAACCAGCAGUUAUGCAAAUCUGCCAAUGGCACUAAUUAAGUGACUUCUAAAAGCAUUUAUUAUAAAUAAGGAACAGAAACAUUCAGGGGCUUAUUUUAUUCUCUCCAGCAGCCAUAGCCCCAUCUGAUUAAUGCCAUAUGGGAAGAGUCUAUUCUGGAGGGCAGGCUGGAGUUUGGUUCAUUGUUGGCAGAUAUUUCAGUUACGUGUUUGUGCAACACUGUAUGCUUACCAGGUAGCAGCUUUGGUGGGAUAGGCCACCUUCACACUUAUCCCAUCAUCACUUGAGAUUUCAAGCCUCAAUUUGACCCCAUGUGGCAGGAAGAGUGUAUGCCAUGUACAGAAAAACUUUACAUCUGUUAUCGUUUAUGAUCUUCCCAACAGCUCUGUGAUGUUUGUUAUUAUCCCUGCAUUGCAGAUAAAGAAACCUAUACUUCCCUGCUAUAAAAUAGAGUUGACCAAAAUUUUUGCAAACAGCCAGAGAGUGAAUAUUUCUGGCAUUGCAACCUAUCAUGUAAGGUCUCCAUCGUGACUGUUCAACUCUGCCAUUGUGGUACAAAAUCAGAGAUGCAUGCUAAAUAAAUGAAAACGCAUGGCUGUG